CGAUUCUCUCAGGCGCAGGGGCGGGCCGCGGUGGCGCGCGCACCGUGGGUCUCGCACCUGCCCUGGCUGAAGACCUGGGGCUGCGUGUCCUCGUGGCCUUCCCCCGGUGGGACAGUCGCUUCUUUCUUAAGGCACAAGUGGAGCAGGGGUAGAGAGAAGGGGAUAGAGAAUCAGAAGUGGACUCUUGGCCGACAACAGCUAGCCCGAUGAGUUUGAACUCAUGAACCGUGAGAUCAUGACCUGAGCCGAAGUCAGACCCUCAACCAGCUGAACCACUGAGGUGCCCCUGCAAUCCUGUUCUGCUGGAUAAGUCCUUGUACUUUACUCCUUUGCUGGCUUCUGCCUCACAUUUGCCAGUGCAAAAUGGAACCAAUAUCCUUUGGACUCUGAAAAAGAAUUGCUGCUUCAGUACCCAACUGGCUGAAAGAAGAGAGAAGACAUUAAGGGAGGAUUUGAAGUCUCUACCCCGAUCUUAUAAAUGAUAUCAAAUCUUCGUAGAUCAGGAUACAUCUAGUUGCUAGAUGAAGAGAUUACCCUAAUAAUUUCAGAGAUGGGUUUUAUCCCUGUUGUAUAUCUGAGGAAACCGAGACCCCGAUCAGGUAAGCAACUUUACCACAAUGACAAAGCUCUUCCGUGGAGAAACCAGAACAUAAACUAAGGUCAGCUUGACCCAAAGUUCCUGCUCACCACGUCCAUGUCUCUGCCCACAGGUAAUUUUAAUUUUCUGUUUCAUGUAUUUUUAUGUGUUCUAGGGGAUCUAAAAUAAGCAUAUAAUGCUUUUAUAAUCUGAAAAUAAAUCCAUAGUUUAACUGCUGUAUUAAAAAGAUGCAGAUUCACAAAUGACGAUUCUAAAAAUUGCUUCCUCCCAAGAUAUGGGACCAUGAACAGGAUCUUUAGGAACUCAAACUAAUGGGGUAAUGAGCAUGAGCACUCCUUUUAAUAAGUGUAAUCCCAAAGACUUUUGUGAGCCAUCUCAAUUCUGCAAAAUUUAUUCAUUUAAGAAAUACUUGCUUAACACCUACCUUUGCCAGGUAUUGUGCUAGAUGUUGGCGCAAUAGUAGGAGGACCAGGCUGAAGGACUUUCUUUGGAUAUUGGGAAAGUCUUUGGGGGAUAAGUAGAGAUGGGAAGAGACAGAGAAGGUGGCAAGACUGUCAAUUUAACACUGGAAGUCCUGGCUACAUACAUCUAAGGUUUUGUUGUUUUUUUUUUAAUCUUUCCCUAAAAACAUAUAGGAUUCCUGAGGAUCCAGGACACCCCCCGUAAAUGUCAUAAAAUGUGAAGGCUCUACAAUGCAUUCAUACUUUUACUCUAAUUAUACUAGUCAGAUAAACUGUUUUAUAUGUAUGUGUGUGUGUAUAUAUAUAUAUAUAUAUAGUUUUUAAUGUUUAUU
Leopardus geoffroyi (Geoffroy's cat) is the source of this 1391-nucleotide long non-coding RNA. RefSeq lists it as uncharacterized. The record is from RefSeq and is a predicted model, not a curated record. The transcript has 6 exons. Lineage: Eukaryota; Metazoa; Chordata; Mammalia; Carnivora; Felidae.